Molecule: unclassified non-coding RNA, 335 nt
Filed under: soil metagenome
Description: partial contains 5.8S ribosomal RNA, internal transcribed spacer 2, and large subunit ribosomal RNA
Rfam family: 5.8S ribosomal RNA (bases 1-120)
Source: RNAcentral
GAUGAAGAACGCAGCGAAAUGCGAUAAGUAAUGUGAAUUGCAGAAUUCAGUGAAUCAUCGAAUCUUUGAACGCACAUUGCGCCCAUUAGCAUUCUAGUGGGCAUGCCUGUUCGAGCGUCAUUUCAACCCUUAAGCCCUGUUGCUUAGCAUUGGGAGCCUACAGUACUGUAGCUCCCCAAAGUUAGUGGCGGAGUCGGUUUCACACUCUAGACGUAGUAAUUUUUUCUCGUCUGUAGUUGAGCCGGUCCCCUGCCGUAAAACACCCAAUUUAUCAAGGUUGACCUCGGAUCAGGUAGGAAUACCCGCUGAACUUAAGCAUAUCAAUAAGCGGAGGA